This 1565-nucleotide ribosomal RNA is filed under the name Trinycteris nicefori (Niceforo's big-eared bat). RNAcentral's name for it is "Micronycteris nicefori (Niceforo's big-eared bat) partial 16S ribosomal RNA". It matches the Rfam family "Bacterial large subunit ribosomal RNA". The record is from RNAcentral. Lineage: Eukaryota; Metazoa; Chordata; Mammalia; Chiroptera; Phyllostomidae.
CUGUACUUAGCCCGAAAUAGACAAAACACAACUAUACCAUCCCCUAAAACAAAACAUUUAUCUUCAUAAAAGUAUAGGAGAUAGAAAUUAUAUAUUGGCGCUAUAGAGAAAGUACCGUAAGGGAACAAUGAAAGACUAUACUAAAAGCAACAAACAGCAAAGAUUACCCCUUGUACCUUUUGCAUAAUGAUUUAACUAGACUUAGUUUAGCAAAGAGAACUAAAGUUAAACCCCCCGAAACCAGACGAGCUAUUCACGAGCAGCUAAUCAGAGCAAACUCAUCUAUGUGGCAAAAUAGUGAGAAGACUUGCGGAUAGAGGUGACAAGCCUACCGAGCCUGGUGAUAGCUGGUUGUCCAGCAAAAGAAUUUCAGUUCAAAUUUAAACCUGCCAACAAAAUAAUAUAAUUAUUCUGCAGGCUUAAAGCAUAGUCUAAAAGGGGACAGCCCUUUAGACACAGGCUACAACCUUUUCUAGAGAGCAAGCCCCUAAACACACCAUAGUUGGCCUAAAAGCAGCCACCAAUAAAGAAAGCGUUCAAGCUCAACAAACCUAUUACCUCAAUCCCUAAAAUUAUCGCCCACUCCUAGUACUAAAACUGGACUAUUCUAUAAUAAUAUAGAAGCAAUACUGUUAAUAUAAGUAACAAGAAUUUAAUUCUCCUCGCACAAGUGUAUAUCAGUACGGAUAACCACUGAUAGUUAACGUAUAUAAAGUAAGCCAAAUAACGAGCUCUUUAUCUCCCCAUUUCUCGUUAACCCAACACAGGAGUGCUCUAAGGAAAGAUUAAAAGGGAUAAAAGGAACUCGGCAAACACUAAACCCCGCCUGUUUACCAAAAACAUCACCUCUAGCAUGCCUAGUAUUAGAGGCACUGCCUGCCCAGUGACAUACGUUCAACGGCCGCGGUAUCCUGACCGUGCAAAGGUAGCAUAAUCACUUGUUCUCUAAAUAAGGACUUGUAUGAAUGGCCACACGAGGGUUUAACUGUCUCUUAUCCCCAAUCAGUGAAAUUGACCUUCCCGUGAAGAGGCGGGAAUACUAUAAUAAGACGAGAAGACCCUAUGGAGCUUUAAUUAACUAGCCUAAUGAACUAAUACUAACCCCGAAAGGGACAAAAUAACUUCAAAUAGACUAGCAAUUUAGGUUGGGGUGACCUCGGAGCAUAAAACACCCUCCGAGCAAUUAUAAGCUUAGACUAACCAGUCAAAGCCACAUCCACAAUUGAUCCAAAUCUAUUGAUCAACGGAACAAGUUACCCUAGGGAUAACAGCGCAAUCCUAUCCUAGAGUUCCUAUCGACGAUAGGGUUUACGACCUCGAUGUUGGAUCAGGACAUCCUAAUGGUGCAGCAGCUAUUAAAGGUUCGUUUGUUCAACGAUUAAAGUCCUACGUGAUCUGAGUUCAGACCGGAGCAAUCCAGGUCGGUUUCUAUCUAUUUUACGCUUCCCCCAGUACGAAAGGACAAGGGAAGCAAGGCCUCCUUAAAACAUAAGCGCCUUACACUUAACAAAUGAAAUAAUCUUAAUCUGUUACGUGACAAACAAUAAGCCCCUAGACCAGGGCUC